CAUAACCCUAGCUAUGAAGAUUUAGCCAAUCAUGAUCAGAAAAUAGAGUAAAAAGCUUAAUUUCAUAAAUUGCAGGUUAAAAAUUACAAUAAAGAGGAAUAAGAUUUCAAAAUCCAAAUUCAAACGACAAGCAAUGUGUUCAACAUCUCCAAACUUGUUUCUCAUUAAUACGUAUGUUACAAAAUUCAACACCUAGUCAGAAAAUACCUAUUCUAGCUGGGUAUUAAUAGGCUCCAACAAUGUUGGAAUUGAAAUUUUAAAACUGAGCUGCCGCAUCAUAACUGACAGCUCGUUUACGAACCGUCAAGAGGGUAAAAUUUUUUGACUGAACCGUCGCUGCUAUCCAGAAUUGAUCUGCACUGUGCUGACCCUGACGACCUCGGUGAUGCUCCAUCACUAGUCUGACGGUCCGUCGCCUGCCAUAUGAUUUUCCAUGAGUUCUGUUUAGUCAUGUCAGACAAAAUAAUGGUCCAUUGCAGAUCCAACGGUCCGUCGGGUGGACCAUUACCUAAUUCUAAAUUGUCCACCUUUUUUCUUCGUGGUGACGUGUGGUGCAGUGGUCUGUCAGGACACCGACGAUCCGUCGGUCUCCCUAUCACAGGGCCCUUUAGCUUAAUGUUCUGAUAUUCAUGCUUUUGAGUUUGAUUCCUGAAAAAAAGCAUAAAACAUUUUAAAUAUCACUAAUAAUUGCUAAGAAAACAUUCAAUUAUCCUUGUUUUGCGAAGAAAUUUUGACUUUUUGAAGAGUCGCUACUUAAUUUUGAAAAGGAAUUAAGAAACCUUUGUAAAAUACUUAGACGAUUCAAAACAGGAAAAUUGUUUAAGUUAGAGAUUCUGAGUAAGCGGUUCCUAUUAACGUUUUAGGAAGGUGUUAGGCACCUAAAACAUCCACUAACUUGCGGUUAUCCGAUCAUGUUUGAAAACAUUCUUUUGAUUAACUUUGGAAAAUCGGUUUGUUGAAAAAGAAAUUGAAUAAGGAAAAGGUUUUUGUGAAAUCAAUUUUUUAGCGACUUAGUUAGGGAUUUAACUAGGUUCGCAAAGACACAAGCAAACAAGUAAACGAAAGGGAAAGGGGGGAGAUGGGAAAGUAGUGAUUUAGGCUUUUAAGCCCAAACCAUCGACCCUGCCCUAAUUUAGUUGGGUUUUCAAUCCAUUUUUUUCACCUGUCCUAAUUCUAUGUUUUUGAGCCUUUAGCUCAAGUCUCACUUUACCUGUAUUAAGUACAACUUUGGCUUCGAGGUCUAAAUGAAUAAAUAAAUAAAUAAAUAAAUUAAUAAAGACGACAAUAAGUAAAUGGACAAAAUGAUAAAUGAGACUUUUGGGUCUCGUAGUGGCUUCAAAGAUGGAAUUUUGAUUUACUUCUUCUUUUGACUCCUUGUAUUCGUUUGCCACGUGAUUGUCUUUUUAGGGAUUUUGAGAUCGGCUCAUGAGGGAUGGGCGUCAAUGGCGCAAAUUGAUAAUGCACCGACGGGAAAGAGGCCGUUUGGACUCAAAGGCAGAUCCAUGCAAAGAAACAAUGAAUGAAUUAAGCCCAUUCUAAAUUUUCAACCAACACACAAAAGAUAUAAAAUGAUAUAUAAAAUAAUUUAAAGAAACAUACAUCAAUCAGGGAGUUUGAAAUUAAUGAAAAAUAAAUUGGCAUCCAUCCAUAGUGGAUGAUCCAAAUUAUCUAUUUUAAGCACUUUGAGAAAUAGAAUGCACAACUUUGAAAUUCACCAGUAGGCUCCUACAUUAUCACACGUUUAUGAAAAAGAAUAACUUAUUUAUAUAUCCAAGAGAAUGAUACUGAAUCAAAAGAAAAUACAAGAAAGUUUAUCAAUUAGUGCAACACUUGGAGAGACGGGUUUCAGAACUAGAUCUCUUCCCGUUAUUUCGACCUAUAAAUUGAGCACAUCGUCUAUAGUCGAUUCAAAGAGAGUUGUGCCACAUAGUUAGGCAAUUCGCAAAGCAACAAACAAUCAUGCCACAACUGAACUAUAAACUUGGGAUGAAAGUGACGCUAUAUAAAUCUAAACUCCUCUGCGACUCAAGCAAACAUAAGCUCUGCUAGUCACAUUUUAGAAAUAGAACAAAGGCACGAGGUGAAGCAGUCUGGAAAUGACGUAACCAUUUGGACAAGAUAUGUAGUCUUAAUAAAAUGACGAGGGAGCUGGCCCUAAUCGGAUUCCAAAAUUAUUUGAUUAGCUUGAAAACUUAAACAAGUCCCCCCCUCAUUUUUAUCAAAUAUUGUAAAAGAACAAGACUUAGAAUAUUGGAAAUCCGCAGGAUUGAUAUUAUGCAAACUUACAGGCCCCUUUCGACAUCUUGAAUCAAAAGGCACCAUGUAAAUUGCGAGUAAAUCAUACAGACACACAGUAAACAUAGAAAGCUCAAAGGUAAAACGAAUUCUCAAAGUUCUUAAUCUAAAUUCCCAAAAAAAUGAACUUUAUAAUUCUACCACAAGGAGCACAUGGCCAGAACUUUAAGAGGAGGUUUUGCUAAUGAUGCUACCAGCUAACAACGUCAAACUAACAAUGUCAACUACUAACAACGAACAAAACCUCCUCGACCCCCUAAAAAAUGAAACCUUUAGUUAUGGAAAUAGCUUUUAAAUGCAAGCAAUACUCAGUAAUAUCACGCGCAAAUGACAAAAUCGAUGCCAAGUUAGAUAUAACAGCAGUCACCCAUUAAACAACUUAAAACAAACACUACUCCAACUUAACCGAAAUCUAACAUUUACUACACUCAGAGAAACCUAUAGCCCUUAAGGCCUCUACAACAGAAAACCCAGCCUCAUUCAUCGACAAACAGAUAACUUCUUCUAUGAGGAAAGAGAAAUAAGGAAGAAAACGAUAAGUUAAAAGGGGCGAGGGUAUGUUUACCUCCUUCGGGGCAGCAAAAUGGGAACCCGAGCUUUCAGUAGAACCGUUACCAUCGAGAGAUGAUGUUGUAGACUUUGGAAUUUCCAGUUGAUCGACCAGCUUCCAAAGAGAAAAAGUGGACGAGAAGAUUUUCACAAAAAAAAACUUUUAUUUUCAGGAGACAAAAUUUUCGAACCCCAAUUUUGGACUCUAGAAUUCUUUGGCUCCCGAAAGAGAAAGAGAGAACCAAAAAAGGAAUUUCACUCUAAUUUCUUGAAACCAUUUCCCAAACCCUAGAAUUCCCCCCCUCCUUUUAUAGAGAAUAAACUAGGGGUUAUUUAGGGCUUCAAAUGAGAAUAAUUUCGGUAUUCUCCCCAAAGGGGAAUUUAAAAUUUGAACUCCCAAAAGUGUUUUCCGCCAGCCAAUUGAACUAAUUUUGGAAUCUUCUUGAUGAAACCCAAAAUUUUCCAACCAAUGGAAUUGAAGGAAUGAAAUUUUUCUCCCCCAACCAAUGAGAAUCGAGCAACUAUGUACGAUUUUGUACCAUUCAUCCUAAAAUUUUCGGCCUCUAGCCGUUUGAGCGGACACCUAUAUAUUUCUAGAGAAUUCUCGAGCUGUUGAUGCCAUACGCUGGGAUGGGUCAUGGUUAUGGGUAGAUUUCAGAUCGUUGGGGGUUGAUAUCGGGUUGUUUGAUAUUGUUGAUGGGUUUGACGGAUUCGGGUGUGAGACGGGUCACGGAUGGAGCAUGGUUUUUGUACGUUGAAUAGGGUAGAAGCCGACUGUAGCUUGGUUAUAUUGGUUUUAAGGUUAUUUAAGGGAAGAGGAGAUGACAUGGGCCGGGUCAGGAGUUAUUGGGUUGAAGAUUGGACUGGCUGAUAUGUUAUUGGUCUUGAUGAGGGAUUGGAGUUGUAUUUGAUUUUGGGCUAGGGAAGCUGAUAUUUAAAUGGGCUGCUGGGGGGUUGUUUUUGGUUGGUUGAAAUUGUGAAUGUUGCCCUAAUUAAAUUUAAUUGGAUUAAAAUAAUACCACUUAGGAAAAGGUAAUUUGGGGAUUAAGAUUAUAAUUUAGGCAACUUAUUUAAACUCUAACCAAAUUGAAUAUCUCAAUUGACUUAGGCAACUUAUUUAAACUCUAACCAAAUUGAAUAUCUCAUCGGUCAAUUGCAUUACAAUUGAGGCCUAUUUGAUUUCAAUUAGAGUCAAAUUUAAUAAAUUGACUAAAUCAAAUAAAAUUCGAUAUGAAUUAACACCUUGUUUAAUCUCGAGCUUCUUGAUUCGAUAAAAUUGAAUAAAUAUUUAUCCAAAUAAAUUAUUUUUGAGAAUAAAUUAUAUUUAAAUCAAGAUUUUGAUCAUUACAUUUAUUUUCAAAGAUUAUCCUUAAUUAAAAUUUGAUAUUGAUGAAAAUGUUCAUUUAAAUGACGUCGUUUAUACAAUCUCGUAUAUGUAAAUACGAAAAUAUAUAAUUAUAUCUUAAAUAAUAAGUUUAGCCCAAAUGCAUAUUUCAAAAUUCAUUUAUUUGGAAAAAAUAAUUGUUGCGAUUUUAUUUGAAAAUCGAAGAAACUCGAGAUUAAUCGUAGUUGUGGAGGGAAAAAAAUUAGGUGUCAACAAUUGCCCCCUCCCUUUGGGUAGGAUGGAUGCAAGUAACCUUGGGCAAAGGGAGGUUGACGUUCCUAAUUUUUGUCCAAACACAAAUCCGUAUCUAAGAGAGAGUGGUUUUUCGCACGAGUUUCGUGGAGUUAUGGCCGAACAUCGGUAUCAGGUUUCCUAUAUAUCUCAGGUUACAUGAGAAUUCAGGACACUUGUAGUUCAUAAAUCUUAAUUGUAAGCAUGAUUUUCAAGAAAAUUCACCAACUAUCACGAUUUUAAAGUUUUUGGUUAAAAUGAGAAGCUGGGGAAUAAAGGGAUUUCGGGAAAGUUGGAAUGCAGUUGAGUUUUCUACACAGAUCCCAGCCUACAUAUCCCCAAGAUUUCAGGGAAUCAGACUGCUUGCAGUUUGACUCAAUCGGUAGAAAAGAUAGUCUUUUAUUUCAGACUAGCUUUGGCUCGGAAUGAGUGACAAGUUGAUCGAGUUGUGGAAAAGAGGCUUGUAACAUCUUAACCAUGAAUGUGGGAUCCUUCACAUUCAUAGUCAAGAACUUACCUGGACAUAAUUUCCAAAACUCUAAGUAUGUUGCCACCCAAAUUUGAAAGAAAGAGAAGGUUACCCUCGACGUGAGUUUAGAAAUAUUUCAAAGGUGAAGCUGAAACCAGAAUAUCUAAAAAUACCCACAUGCCUUCUAAUAGAGGCAUGGUUAGAUGGUGGUGGUGAUCAUCAUUUAGCUCGCGUCUAGAGAGUUUGACAUCCCUCUCUAGACUAUGUCCCGUUUUGCUGCUGAGAAGAGUUCCACGUUGUGCUGUGUCCUUUUAGAGUCGUAUGAACAUAUGGUUUUGGUUUGAGAUUUUCAUCCUCUCGAAUGCUAUCGACAAUAUCUCAAAUGAAAAUCAUUAGUAAUAAGCAUUAUUCACGAAAGAGGUGUGUAGUAUUUUACCAUAUCUCUACGUGAAGUCAUCUCUUCUUGUGCCUGCUUGGAAAGAAAUAACUUGCAAUAACAGACACAACAACCCUCUUGGUUGUUGCAUAAUUAGCUUAUUUAUUGAGAGAAUAUGUUUUCAAAGUGGGGUGACCUUUUUGGACGCCGACGAUACUUUAUGCGGAAUGGUCCCGGCAAUCGAUUAGCCCUGUAUUGAUGAGGAAACCCUUUUUGGUUGCCUAUAUCACUUGUUAUAUGUGGAAUAACAACCUCUCCGGUUAUAGCCGAUGAUCGAUUUAUAAAUUUUCUUUAAAUUAUCAACCUUUGGAUAAUCUUGUACAUUAUUUGAUAUUGGAUACGAGGCGACUUACAGAUAUCCUUUGAAUUUCUAGCUUUUAGGUAAUCCUGCACAUUAUUCGACUUUGGAUAAGAGAUGGCUUACAGAUAUCCCUCCAAUCACUAGCUUUCAGGGGUUCCUGCACAUCAUCUGACCUUGGAUACAAUAUGCCUUAUAGACAAUCUCUCAAAUUAUUUGUCUUUGGGUAAUCCUACACAUAAUCGAUCUUGGAUAUGAUGCAUCUUAUAGAGAACCCUUGGACGUAUCAAUUUGAUAAUCUUGCAUAUUCUUCGAUAAGGCUUUAGUUGCGACUUAUGGAUAACCUUUGAACUAUCAAUUUUUGGGCGAUCUUGCACACUAUUCGGUUAGGAUGUUAUGGUGACUUACGGAUGACCUACAGGCUAUCAACUCAUAGGUGAUCUUGCACACUAUCAUAUUUCAAAUAAUAUUACUUAUAGAUGACCCUCAAAUUGUCAAUUUCUAGGAAAUCUUACAUAUCAUUCAUCCUUAGAUACCGACUUAGAGGCGUCCCUUCAAAUUGUGUGCUCUUGAUGCAUCUGAUUAAUAAAAUAAUGAGAUAUCCUCGAUGGCAGCGUUUAUGUCUUGUGUGUCAACAAAUAUAAAAUAAUAAUGAUAUCCUUGAUGCCAGUAUUGUGUCUAGCGCAUCAACAUAUAUUGAAUGAUGAUGAUAUCCUCAACACCAGCAUUAUGUCUUGCGUGUCAAUAGAUAUAUUGAAUGCUGAUGAUAUCCUCGAUGCCAGCAUUGUUUCUACCAUGUCAAAAGAUAUUGAGUGAUGAUGAUAUCCUCAACGUCAGCAUUGUGUCUUGCUUGUCAACAGAUAUAUUGAAUGCUGAUGAUAUCCUCGAUGCCGGCAUUGUGUCUAGCGCGUCAACAGAUAUUGAAUGUUGAUGAUAUCCUCGACACCAGUAUUGUGUCUUACGUGUCAACAGAUAUAAAAUGACCCUCUCGGCAAAUGAUAUAAAUGACCCUUUUGGCAAUGAUAUGAAAUGGCCCUCUUGACAAUAAUAUGCAAUGGCCCUCUUGGCAAUAAUAUGCAAUGGCCCUCUUUGAAAUGAUAUGUAAUGACUCUUGUGGCAAUGAUAUGCAAUGGCCCUUAGGGCAAUGAUAUAUAAUGACCCUUGCAGCAAUGAUAUGCAAUGGCCCUUGCGGCAAUGAUAUGUAAUGGCCCUUGCGGAAAAUUUUAAAAUAAUUUUACCUAACUUCAUUUGUCAGCGUCUUACUUUCUACAUGUACCUAUACUCAAGAUAGACGAUUAGUAGACACAAAGUCGCUUGUACUAGCGACUAUUUUUAGGAAAUUUCUAAAUACAAUGUUUGUGAAGAAGACAAGGCGCUUUUGUUUGUCGCCCAUGAUCUCAAGAAAUGAGAUGGACAAAUCAAAAAGUCCUUAAUAAAUGGGUAUUAAACCUAUUUUUAAGGCUACCCUAAAAUACCGUUCUUGGACAUUAAUGCUCUGUUGUGGCUCCCAAUUUGCUCAAGAUUUUUGAAAGAGACCCUCACUUUUGUGUAUUGAUCCCUGCAUCCACAGAAAAAUGAUUAGUUUGAAUGAAAUUACUCCGUGUUGACCUUCUUUGAUCCUUGAUUUGCUGCUUGUCAUCUCUUGGACAUUCCGCUAUAUCGGGACUUCCAUCCUGACACUCCAUCUCAAGUGAUGUCUUGGCAAGUACUAAAUAAGUGAGUUGUAAGAUUUUUUGAAAAUAGUCUUAAUUUUUAUAACAUAAUUUCGAAAGCUUCUGUAAAACUUUAGAAAAUCUCUGCCAGUCAUGUCAUGUACUAGCUCAACGACCAUCUUUCUCUUGAUUCUGACAAUAUCUAACAUUUGUUGGAGGAUUGCUAGGGAUUCAGCUUUGUCGAGGCUCUCCACCAGAAGUUUUAUCAAAGACGGGGAUUCAGUGUUCCUAGACUUUAUUGCAGGUGGUGAUUCUCAAAUCUCAACUUCGACCUUUAGUGCUGGGGAAUUUAAAAUAUAUUCCAUUAUUUGAUUGAAAUUUUAAGGCCUCCCUCAAAAUUUCUGCCCAGUUUAAAGUAGUCUGAGAUGAUAUCAUCUUGAGUGGAUCUGAAGUCUUUGCUAAUCUUCAUUCUCUUUGUUGGAUGUUGAUUUUCUCUUGUGAAUUUUUGAGAUUCCUUCUCAAAAAUUCUGCCCUAGUUUCUAUUUCCUAGGGUUAUAUGACCGAGCCGUUGGGGUGCCUACGUAUCCCUUUCUUGGGAAUUCAGGUCAUCACGUAGUUCAUAUAUAAAGGAAAAGGAUAAAUUUUCCUAAGGGUUUGACCGAAGCCGACAUAGGCCGCCUACAUAUCCUUUUUUGGGAAUUCAGGUCAAACAUAGUUCGUACAUAAAGGGAAGGAAUUGAUUUUCCUAAGGGGUUGACCGAAGUCGACAUAGGCUACCUACUUAUCCCUUUCUUGGUAAUUCAGGUCAAACGUAGUUUGUACAUAAAGGGAAAUAAUAGAUUUUCCUAAGGGGUUGACCAAAGCCGACAUAGGCCGCCUACAUAUCCCGCUCUUGGGGAUUCAGGUCAAACAUAGUUCGUACAUAAUGGAAAAGGAUUCUAGGCAAUUACACAUCAUAAAAUUGAUACUAUUAUAAAGGCGAUUACAAAUAAAUCAAGAAACAAAAACUAUAACAUCUUUCAAGCACACUAUCUUUUUACCACAUCAGAAUUGAUUGGUUUGGUCCACUCUUGACCAUCCAUCUCAGGUAGGAUUAAGGCUCCUUCAGGUUGGGCUUCUUUUGAUUUUCAUAUUCCUCUGUAUUUACUACUAACUGCUCCUUAUCAUUUUUUUCUGUUCAUCAUUAUUUCCUUCGCUCUGUUCGGCUAACCCUCGACAUGACAUGACAUUGAUAGUUUUUUUAAUUAUUGUUACCAAAAUAAGCCAUGCUAGAUAAUCAUAUUUUAAAAAUAACUUCUUAAAUAAAGGGAGGCCUUUUGGAAAAUAAACAAAAACUAUGGCUUAGGACCCACACAAAUGUGGGCCCAUGCCUUUUUGAGAGUUGUAAAAUGCGAAACAAAAAUUUGAGACAUAAAAGGGUGGAUCACGAGGCCUCCUCUAGAUCAUCACCGAUUUUAAAAACUAUUGGUAAUUACCCUUUCAUCUACCGCGACGGGCGAUGAAUUAGGAGCGGAGUGGAAGUCCAAUUUUGUGAAGCUUCUACUGGUGCAACCUUCUUCAUCCCAUCGGACUUUGGGAAAUCAUCUGGUAGAGCAUUGGAUCCUGUAAAUAGAUCUCCUAUCCCAUCCCAAGACCAUCAUCAUUUGAUAUCUCAUGUAUGGGAAAUGACUGGUAUAAGAGCGGCAAGGGCCUAAACAGACUCUUCUUUGAAUUAUCUUCGAUCUCAUCUUCCUUUCUUGGUUGGUACUCUAUUCCUUGCUUCAAAGCUUUUUCUGGGACCAUAACAGGCUUGAUAAUUCUUUCCAAAUCCUUACUUAAGGCGGCCACAACUUCCUCUAUCUUCUCUACCUCUUCUGUUCCUUUGACUUCUUCCGAAUCUACCUUAGUGAUGGCCUUGCUAGACAUCCAUUCACCCUCUAUUUCAAUUAUGUUAAUUAUAGGUCCUCCAUGGUUAGGCAAUGGAUUACUGUUAACAUUUGGUGUCGGUGACUGAACCGUGAUGUCCUUCUGAUCGAUCAAAUCUUGGAUCUUAUGUUUCAAGUUAAUACAAUCCUCUGUACUAUGCCCCGCUGCUCCUGAAUGAUAGGCAUAAUUUUGAUCGGGAUAGUAAAACCGAGAGUUGGGAUUGAUAGGCUUUGGCUGGAUCUAUUGCAAAUAACCAGCUUUCAUUAAUCUUUUGAAAGCUGGGUAGGACUUUCAGCUGGCGGCGUGUAGUUUUGGGGAGGUUUAUUUUCAAGGUUUGGACGUGGAGGGUUAUAAUGGUUCUGAUUUACAUGAGGAGGUACUUGAUGAUAAUUUGGAGAUGUUUGGACGUUUAUUUGGUUAUUUGGAAAAGUAGCUUGAGUAUGAGGCUGAUAAUUUGGCUGUGGAAUUUGGUACUGAGGUAAAUAUUUGGAAUUGGAGCUUGAUAUUGGGGAUGGGCGUAGAAUACAGGCUGAAAAUUAGGUGACGGUGGUAAGGAAAUAAUAUUCCUAGGCUUGAAUUUCCUCUUUAAUUUAUUUACAAAAUUAGUAGAGACCGCAGUCACAUCCUCUUUUUUCUUGUUUGAGAAUGCAGAAGAUUCCGAUGAUGUUGGGGUUUUUGUAAUUUUUCCUGUUCGGAUGCCUUCCUCUAAUGAUUCCCCAAUCUUUACUAAGUUUGCAAAAGUUUCUCGGACCGUGGACACAAACCUGGUAUAAUAUUCUCCUUCCUAUGCACGAGCGAAAACUGAUACCAUUUCUUCCUCAAACAUGGGAGGUUGUACUUUAGCAGCCUCUUUUCUCCAAUGAAAGGCGUAGUCUUGAAAACACUCAUUAUUCUUCUGUUUGAUCCUAUCUAGUGAGUAUCGGUCAGGGACCAUCUCAAUGUUAAAUGCAAACCUGUCAAGGAAACCCUUGGCCAAUGAUUUCCAACCAGUCCAUCUUUUCAGUUCCUGAGACAUGAACCACUCUAAGGCUUCGUCACUUAAACUUCGGCUAAACAGACGUAUCAAUAACGCCUCAUUUUUCCCUACCCCCACCAUUUAUCACAAUACCUUCUCAGAUGGGCCAUUGGAUUUCCGGUGCCAUCAAACACCUCAAAUUUAGGAACCUUAUACCCUUUUGGUAGAUCUAUUCCAGGGUGAACACAUAAAUCAUCAUACCCUAAACCGUCGUGGUCCCUCACUCCAUGUGAUUCUUCGAUCCUCAUGAUCUUUUCAUUCAUAGCUAGCAACUUCAUUUCAUGUUCAGUCCUCCACUCUUUCUCCUUCUCCUCAUAAUGGUCCAUCUCGAAAUUAGGAAGAGGAUUAUAGAUAUUAGGGAAUAUAAUGGCAUGAAGAGGAUUUGUAAGGGAAUCUUUAUUUUGAGGAUGAAAUGAAGUGGGUUGGUAGGUAGGGCGGACGUUAUGGAAAUUAAAAAGGUUUUGUAGAAUUUGAGAGUGGUUUGGAGAUGGGUUUUGUGGGGUUAGAGAUGGAUUUUGUGGAUGGUAGGCAUCUGGGUUAUUUUCGCGAUUAGUGUUUUGGACAAAUGGAGGAGCGGAGACAGACGAUAUGUUAUUUGACUGAUUCCCGAGAAUCGGUGUACUGAGGGGAAGAAUUUAGAGUGGAGUGGAGUGUCCUCCUGGAGCGGGAGCAUUGACGGUGAUGGCCAGGUUAGCCAAAUAUCGAGUGCGAUUUAUUUCCUCCUGAAGCAUUUCUAAUUUUCUUGCGAGUUCCGCAAUUAUCUUACUCUGUUCCACUAUUACAUUGUCCCUGAUGGUCAAUGCGUUUUCUUCAUAAUUUUUAGUCAUUAUUUAAUGACGAUCAGAGGAUAGAAUUUUAUGCGCUUUUGACCGGGUGAAGUAGGGAUGUUCUACCAGCUUAUAUCAACACGGAGUAGUUUCUAUUAUCUGUUAAGUAAAACAACUCAAAGGCAGAUGCAUUAGUUUCCGUAUGUGAUAAGUAAUGCAAAAUAUUUUGACAAGGAAUAACCACGUAGAGUUGUUUGACUCAUAGCCAAAUUCAUCCAUAGGAGCACAACGGAUAAACUUUCCUUUGAUCCAAACAAACACACAUAAGCACAUAAGACAAUUAUAUUACACAAAAUAUUAUGAUAAUACGUAUCCUAACUGGGGUGACCCUUUUUUGAGUCAAGGGUUCAGGCCAAACGAUUUUUGAAGAAAAUAUAUGCUUCCCUAAAGUCAAUCCAUUAUCCUCCAACUUAUAUAGACACGAAAAGGGCAUAAAUACUUACAAAUGAUAACAAAAAAGGGAUACAAUCUUUAGGGAAAAAGGAAAAUAAUAUGAAAGAAGAUAAGUUCCCACGUAGGGGAUAGAAAAUACUAAUUCCUGAGUGCUUCGUCUAUCAGCCUUCGCCUUCUCAGCUUCAUCCGUUUCUUAUACUGGUGAAAUCUGUAAACUGUGCCUUAGAUGCAACCUCCCAAAUCGAUCAAUUUCUUGCUUAACUUGCUUCAAUUCUUCUUACAAAAGUAAGCAAAUCAAGAUUUUCCUGACCCCCAAAGGAUAAUGGAUUGAAUUUAGACAAGCAUGUAUUGUUUUUCCAACACAUAAAUAUGAUUUUUUUGUAAUUGACAUGGGGUCAAUAGACGCAAGGCAGGUUUUCUAAUGGGCCCAACACCCCGCUCGGGUAUUGGGUUGUGCUAGGCUCAUGCCUAAAAUAGGGUUUUGGUUUCGUUCUAUCCUCGGUGUCUAAAGUGGGUUUGAACACUGGUUCUCAAGCAGACAACUUGAGUUUGAAAAUACGAACAACGUCAGAUGACUCAUGUACUAAUAAGCCAUUCAUAUUUCUAACAUAUUUUAAAAUUGAACAAUAGGGGUCGGGAUAUCCGCGAAACCCCAAAACAGUUUAAAUAAUGUAGGAAUAUGCCAUAAGAUGCGAUAAUUAAACUUUAUAGAAUCGAAACAUAUAAAUACAUAAACAGUUAAUCAAAAGACGAAAUCAAACAUUUGGUUAGAACCUAGUUAAAAAUUGCUAGCAGAGUCGCCAUUUCUGUUUUUCGGAGAAAUUUUGACUUUUUGAAGAGUCACCACUUAAUUUUGAAAAGGAAUUAAGAAACCUUUGUAAAAUACUUUGAAGAUUCAAAACAGAAAAAUCGUUUAAGUUAGAGAUUCUGAGUAAGUGGUUCCUAUUAAGGUUUUAGAAAGGUGUUAGGCACCUAAAACAUCCACUAACUUGCGGUUAUCCGAUCUAUUUGAAAACAUUCUUUUGAUUAACUUUGGAAAAUUGGUUUGUUGAAUAUGAAAUUGAUUAAGGAAAUAUUUUUUGCGAAAUCAAUUUUUAGCGACUUCGUUAGAGAUUUAACUAGGUUUGCAAAGAGACAAGCAAACAAGUAAACGAAAGGGAAAGGGGGAAAACGGGAAAGUAGUGAUUUAGGCUUUUAAGCCCAAACCAUCGACCCUAUCCUAAUCUAGUUGGGUUUUCAACCCAUUUUUUUCACCUGUCCUAAUUCUAUAUUUUUGAGCAUUUAGCUCGAGUCUCACUUCACCUGUAUUAAGUACAACUUUGGAUUCGAGGCCUAAAUGAAUAAAUUAAUCAAUUAAUUAAUUAAUAAAGAUGACAAUGAUUAAAUGGACAAAAUGGUAAAUGAGACUUUUGGAUCUCGUAGCGGCUUCAAAGAUGGAACUUUGAUCUACUUCUUCUUUCGGCUCCUUGUAUUCGUUUUCCAUGUGAUUGUCUUUUUAGGGAUUUUGAGAUUGGCUCAUGAGGGAUGGGCCUCAAUGGCCCAAAUUGAUAAUGCACCGAUGGAAAAGAGUCCGUUUGGACUCAAAGGCAGAUCCAUGCAAAGAAACAAUGAAUGAAUUAAGCCCAUUCUAAAUUUUCAACCAACACACAAAAGAUAUAAAAUGAUAUAUAAAAUAAUUUAAAGAAUCAUACAUCAAUCAGCGAGUUUGAAAUUAAUGAAAAAUAAAUUGGCAUCCAUCCAUAGUGGAUGAUCUAAAUUAUCCAUUUUAAGCACUUUGAGAAAUAGAAUGCACAACUUUGAAAUUCACCAGUAGGCUCCUACAUAAUCACGCGUUUAUGAAAAAGAAUCACUUAUUUAUAUAUUCAAGAGAAUGAUACUGAAUCAAAAGAAAAUAAGAGAAAGUUUAUCAAUUAGUUCAACACUUGGAGAGACGGGUUUCGGAACUCGAUCUCUUCUCGUUAUUUCGGCCUACAAAUUGAGCACAUCGUCUACAGUAGAUUCAAAGCGAGUUGUGCCAUCAUAGAUAGGCAAUUCGCGAAGCAACAAAAAAUCAUUCCACAACUGAACUAUAAACUUGGGAUGAAAGUGAUGUUUUAUCAAUCUAAACUCCUCUGCGACUUAAGUAAACAUAAGCUCUGCUAGUCGCAUUUUAGAAAUAGAACAAAGGCAGAAGGUGAAGCAGUCUGGCAAUGACAUAACCAUUUGGACAAGAUAUGUAGUCUUAAUAAAAUGACGAGGGAGCAGGGCCUUAUUGGAUUCCAAAAUUAUUUGAUCAGCUUGAAAACUUAAACAAGUCCCUCCCUCCUUUUUAUCGAAUAAUGUAAAAGAACAAACUUAGGAUAUUGGAAAUCCUCAGGAUUGAUAUUAUGCAAACUUACAGGCCCCUUUCGACAUCGUGAAUCAAAAGGCAUCAUGUAAGUUGCGAGUAAAUCAUACAGACACACAGUAAACAUAAAAAGCUCAAAGGUAAAAUGAAUUCUCAAAGUUCUCAAUCUAAAUUCCCAGAAAAACGAACUUUAUAAUUCUACCACAAGGAGCACAUGGCCAGAACUUCAAGAGGAGGUUUCGCUAAUGAUGCUACCAGCUAACAACGUCAACUACUAACAACGAACAAAACCUCCUCAACCCCCACAAAUAUGAAACCUUUAGUUAUGGAAAUAGCUUUCAAACACAGUCAAUACUCAGCAAUAUCACGCGCAAAUGACAAAAUCGAUGUCAAGAUAGAUAUAACAGUAGUAACCCAUUAAAUAACUUAAAACAAACACUACCCCAACUUAACCGAAAUUCAACAUUUACUACACUCAGAGAAACCUAUAGAUCUUAAGGCCUCUACAACAGACAACCCAUCCUCAUUCAUCGACAAACAGAUAACUACUUCUACGAGGAAAGA
This 14344-nucleotide long non-coding RNA is filed under the name Capsicum annuum. RNAcentral's name for it is "long non-coding RNA (CANN_LNC015930)". The record is from RNAcentral. Lineage: Eukaryota; Viridiplantae; Streptophyta; Magnoliopsida; Solanales; Solanaceae.